GCAGUCGAACGAGUUCUGAUUAUUGAAAGGUGCUUGCAUCUUGAUUUAAUUUUGAACGAGUGGCGGACGGGUGAGUAACACGUGGGUAACCUGCCCUUAAGUGGGGGAUAACAUUUGGAAACAGAUGCUAAUACCGCAUAAAUCCAAGAACCGCAUGGUUCUUGGCUGAAAGAUGGCGUAAGCUAUCGCUUUUGGAUGGACCCGCGGCGUAUUAGCUAGUUGGUGAGGUAACGGCUCACCAAGGCAAUGAUACGUAGCCGAACUGAGAGGUUGAUCGGCCACAUUGGGACUGAGACACGGCCCAAACUCCUACGGGAGGCAGCAGUAGGGAAUCUUCCACAAUGGACGCAAGUCUGAUGGAGCAACGCCGCGUGAGUGAAGAAGGCUUUCGGGUCGUAAAACUCUGUUGUUGGAGAAGAAUGGUCGGCAGAGUAACUGUUGUCGGCGUGACGGUAUCCAACCAGAAAGCCACGGCUAACUACGUGCCAGCAGCCGCGGUAAUACGUAGGUGGCAAGCGUUAUCCGGAUUUAUUGGGCGUAAAGCGAGCGCAGGCGGUUUUUUAAGUCUGAUGUGAAAGCCCUCGGCUUAACCGAGGAAGUGCAUCGGAAACUGGGAAACUUGAGUGCAGAAGAGGACAGUGGAACUCCAUGUGUAGCGGUGAAAUGCGUAGAUAUAUGGAAGAACACCAGUGGCGAAGGCGGCUGUCUGGUCUGUAACUGACGCUGAGGCUCGAAAGCAUGGGUAGCGAACAGGAUUAGAUACCCUGGUAGUCCAUGCCGUAAACGAUGAAUGCUAGGUGUUGGAGGGUUUCCGCCCUUCAGUGCCGCAGCUAACGCAUUAAGCAUUCCGCCUGGGGAGUACGACCGCAAGGUUGAAACUCAAAGGAAUUGACGGGGGCCCGCACAAGCGGUGGAGCAUGUGGUUUAAUUCGAAGCAACGCGAAGAACCUUACCAGGUCUUGACAUCUUUUGAUCACCUGAGAGAUCAGGUUUCCCCUUCGGGGGCAAAAUGACAGGUGGUGCAUGGUUGUCGUCAGCUCGUGUCGUGAGAUGUUGGGUUAAGUCCCGCAACGAGCGCAACCCUUAUGACUAGUUGCCAGCAUUUAGUUGGGCACUCUAGUAAGACUGCCGGUGACAAACCGGAGGAAGGUGGGGAUGACGUCAAAUCAUCAUGCCCCUUAUGACCUGGGCUACACACGUGCUACAAUGGAUGGUACAACGAGUUGCGAGACCGCGAGGUCAAGCUAAUCUCUUAAAGCCAUUCUCAGUUCGGACUGUAGGCUGCAACUCGCCUACACGAAGUCGGAAUCGCUAGUAAUCGCGGAUCAGCACGCCGCGGUGAAUACGUUCCCGGGCCUUGUACACACCGCCCGUCACACCAUGAGAGUUUGUAACACCCGAAGCCGGUGGUCGUAACCCUUUAGGGAGCGAGCCGUCUAA
Molecule: ribosomal RNA, 1440 nt
Filed under: Lacticaseibacillus rhamnosus
Lineage: Bacteria; Bacillati; Bacillota; Bacilli; Lactobacillales; Lactobacillaceae
Description: bacterial SSU rRNA
Rfam family: Bacterial small subunit ribosomal RNA
Source: RNAcentral